GGGGGAGCUGCUGGGAUCAGACAGGGGAUGUGCUUCCUGGGGGUGCAGCUGGCUGGGGUCACCCUUGCCGGGGUCUCUCCCACCCUUCCUGGGGCCUCUUCCAUCCUUCCUGUGGUUCUUUCCCACUUCCUGGGGUCUCUCCCACCCUUCCUGGGUCUUUCCCACUCUUACUGGGAUACUUCCCUACCCUUGCUGGGGUCCUUUCCUGCUUUCUGGGGUCUCUCCCACUUUUUCUGGGGUUCUUCCCUAAUCUUGUUGGAGUCUCUCCCCACACUUUCUGGGAUCCUUCUCUACCCUUGUUGGGUCCUUCCCUCCCUUUUUGGGGCCUUUCCCACCCCUCCUGUGAUCCUUUCCCAAUUGCUGGGGUCUUUCCCACCCUUCCUGUAGUUUUUUCCCACUUACUGGGGUCUCUUCCACCUUUCCCAGGAUCUCUCCCCGCUCUUGCUGGGGUCCUUCCCUACUCUUUCCUGGGGUCUCUCCCACUCUUUCCUGGGUUUCUCCCACCCUUCCUGGGGUCUCUUUUUACCUUUCCUGGGGUCUCUCCCACUCUUUUUGUGGUCCUUUCCCACUUCUUGGUGUCUCUCUCACCCUUCCUGGGGUCUCUUUUACCUUUCCUGGGGUCUCUUUUACCUUUCCUGGGGUCUCUCCCACCCUUUCUGUGGUCCUUUCCCGUUUCUUGGUGUCUCUCUCACCCUUCCUGGGUCUCUCCCUCCCUGUCUGGGUUCUCUCCCACGGGCCGAGCCGCACUGAGGGUCCCCUUUCCUGGAAUUCCCCCCCCCCCAACAAUCCACGCAAAUCCCAUGGUAAGCCUGUGGGAAUUUCCUCACCACCGCAGCAGCAGCAGCAGCAGCAGGAGCAGCACAGACACCACAGCACAGGGACACAGGGACACGGGGACACGGGGACACAGGGACACGGGGACACAGGGACACGGGGACACGGACAUGCUACCGGGGCACACGGGGAUGGGACGGGAACACGCACAUUCCAGAGCGGGCCCACUGCCCGUUCCCGGCCCCGGGGGAGCCCUGGGAAGGCCGGGGGGGCAGGGGGGGAGCGGGAGGACAGGUGAUUGCUAUGGAAUGGGAACAUGCUCACUUACACAACUCGCCCACCCUCCGGAGGCCAGAGGCGGUUCUAGACAGAGCAGCGCGGACAUGCAGAUGGAGAGCAGGAAGAGAGGCAAUGAGAGAGAAUGUUGUUAGCUCCGGUCCGGGCAGCUCCUCAGGGAGAGGG
This 1236-nucleotide long non-coding RNA is filed under the name Manacus vitellinus (golden-collared manakin). Its description in RNAcentral is "lncRNA (ENSMVIG00005005289.1)". Lineage: Eukaryota; Metazoa; Chordata; Aves; Passeriformes; Pipridae. The record is from RNAcentral.